UAAAGUAUGAGAAGGGCUUGUGGUGGAUGCCUAGGCACCAUCAGACGAAGAAGGACGCGGCAAGCAGCGAAAACCUCGGGAAGGCGCAAACAGCCUGUGAUCCGGGGGUGUCCGAAUGGGGAAACCUGGCGGGUUCGCCCGUCGACCUAUAGCUGAAUACAUAGGCUUUAGGUAGUCAACGCAGGGAAGUGAAACAUCUCAGUACCUGCAGGAGAAGAAAUCAACAGAGAUUCCCUUAGUAGUGGCGAGCGAACGGGGAGUAGCCCAAACCAGGCAUUUAUGUCUGGGGUUGUAGGACCUGCAUUUAGUGGAGGAUAGCUAGCCGGAUAGGCAUGGAAAGGCCGACCAUAGAGGGUAAUAGUCCCGUAGGCGAAAGCUUGAGACCAUGAGCGGGUAUCCUGAGUAGGGCGGGGCACGUGAAACCCUGUCUGAAACUGGGGGGACCACCCUCCAAGGCUAAAUACUCGAUGGUGACCGAUAGUGAACGAGUACCGUGAGGGAAAGGUGAAAAGUACCCAGAGAUGGGAGUGAAAUAGUACCUGAAACCGCAAGCCUACAAACUAUCGAAGGAGGGCAUGACCCUCUAACGGUGUACCUUUUGUUUAAUGAGCCAGCGAGUUAGUCGUCUGCAGCAAGGUUAAGGGCCUAAGGUCCGGAGCCGUAGGGAAACCGAGUCUUAAUAGGGCGUUGAGUUGCAGGCGCUAGACGCGAAGCCUUGUGAUCUACCCAUGACCAGGCUGAAGCGGGGGUAAAACCCCGUGGAGGGCCGAACCUUAUCAGGUUGAAAACUGACUGGAUGAGUUGUGGGUAGGGGUGAAAGGCCAAUCAAACUGGGUGAUAGCUCGUUCUCUCCGAAAUAUAUCUAGGUAUAGCGUCACGUUGGAAUCGCGGGGGUAGAGCACUGAUUGGACUAGCGGGCACACCAGCUUAGCAAACCCAAACAAACUCCGAAUACCGUUGAUUUUAGAUCGUGGCAGUCAGCCUGCGUGAGAUAAGUUUCGCAGGCGAGAGGGGAACAACCCGGACCAUCGGCUAAGGUCCCCAAGUGAAUGCUAAGUGUAAAAGGAUGUGGGAUUACUCGGACAACCAGGAGGUUGGCUUAGAAGCAGCCAUCCUUUAAAGAAAGCGUAAUAGCUCACUGGUCAAGUGAUUCUGCGCCGAAAAUUACGUGGGUCUAAGCAUUUCACCGAAGCCGUGGACUUGAGUAAUCAAGUGGUAGGAGAGCGUUCCGUAGGCCUGGGAAGGUGAGGCGUGAGCCUUGCUGGAGGUAUCGGAAAUGAGAAUGCUGGCAUGAGUAGCGAUAAUGCGGGUGAAAAACCCGCACACCGUAAACCCAAGGAUUCCUGGGUAAAGCUAAUCUUCCCAGGGUUAGUCGGUCCCUAAGGCGAGGCCGAACGGCGUAGUCGAUGGGAAGCAGGUUAAUAUUCCUGCACCGAUCUGUGUGUUCGAAGGGGGGACGGAGUGAAUACAAUCAGCUUCCUGAUGGAUGGAAGUUUGGGAGCGUAGGAGGUUCGGUAGGCAAAUCCGCCGAGCGCUACUCCGAGACUCUUGAGGAAGUGCGUCGCUUGCGACAAACCAACUGAUUGGAAGGGCUUCCAAGAAAAUCCUCUAAGGCAUAGCACAGACGACCGUACCGCAAACCGACUCAGGUGGGUAAGGCGAAUAGCCUAAGGUGCUUGAGAGAACUGAGGUGAAGGAACUCGGCAAAUUAGCUCCGUAACUUCGGGAGAAGGAGUGCCUGACUUGGUGUAGGAGUACAUCCGAAGCCUUGUUUGGCCGCAGAGAAUUGGCAGAAGCGACUGUUUACCAAAAACACAGGACUGUGCCAACCCGCAAGGGGCAGUAUACAGUCUGACACGUGCCCGGUGCCGGAAGGUUAACAGGAGAGGUCAGCGCAAGCGAAGCCUUGAAUCGAAGCCCCGGUAAACGGCGGCCGUAACUAUAACGGUCCUAAGGUAGCGAAAUUCCUUGUCGGGU
This 1977-nucleotide ribosomal RNA is filed under the name soil metagenome. Its description in RNAcentral is "bacterial LSU rRNA". It matches the Rfam family "Bacterial large subunit ribosomal RNA", at positions 1 to 1977 of the family's 2925-position model. The record is from RNAcentral.